This 253-nucleotide ribosomal RNA is filed under the name uncultured bacterium. Its description in RNAcentral is "partial 16S ribosomal RNA". It matches the Rfam family "Bacterial small subunit ribosomal RNA", at positions 524 to 776 of the family's 1533-position model. The record is from RNAcentral.
UACGUAGGGGGCAAGCGUUGUCCGGAAUUACUGGGUGUAAAGGGAGCGCAGGCGGGAAGCCAAGUCAGCUGUGAAAACUACGGGCUUAACUUGUAGACUGCAGUUGAAACUGGUUUUCUUGAGUGAAGUAGAGGUUGGCGGAAUUCCGAGUGUAGCGGUGAAAUGCGUAAAUAUUAGGAGGAACACCAGUGGCGAAGGCGGCCUGCUGGGCUUUAACUGACGCUGAGGCUCGAAAGCGUGGGUAGCAAACAGG